This 218-nucleotide ribosomal RNA is filed under the name Salmonella enterica subsp. enterica serovar Kentucky. RNAcentral's name for it is "partial 23S ribosomal RNA". It matches the Rfam family "Bacterial large subunit ribosomal RNA", at positions 1125 to 1341 of the family's 2925-position model. Lineage: Bacteria; Pseudomonadati; Pseudomonadota; Gammaproteobacteria; Enterobacterales; Enterobacteriaceae. The record is from RNAcentral.
AAAGAAAGCGUAAUAGCUCACUGGUCGAGUCGGCCUGCGCGGAAGAUGUAACGGGGCUAAACCAUGCACCGAAGCUGCGGCAGCGACGCUUAUGCGUUGUUGGGUAGGGGAGCGUUCUGUAAGCCUGUGAAGGUGGCCUGUGAGGGUUGCUGGAGGUAUCAGAAGUGCGAAUGCUGACAUAAGUAACGAUAAAGCGGGUGAAAAGCCCGCUCGCCGGA